Molecule: ribosomal RNA, 393 nt
Filed under: uncultured bacterium
Lineage: Bacteria
Description: partial 16S ribosomal RNA
Rfam family: Bacterial small subunit ribosomal RNA
Source: RNAcentral
AUACGGAGGAUGCAAGCGUUAUCCGGAUUUAUUGGGUUUAAAGGGUGCGUAGGCGGUUUGCUAAGCGGGAGGUGAAAUGCCGGCGCUCAACGUCGGAAGUGCCUCCCGAACUGGUGGACUUGAAUGACUCUGCCGUGGGAGGAAUGUGUAGUGUAGCGGUGAAAUGCUUAGAGAUUACACAGAACACCGAUUGCGAAGGCAUCUCACGAAGGGUUGAUUGACGCUGAGGCACGAAAGCGUGGGGAUCAAACAGGAUUAGAUACCCUGGUAGUCCACGCAGUAAACGAUGAUUACUCGCUGUUUGCGAUACAAUGUAAGCGGCUAAGCGAAAGCAUUAAGUAAUCCACCUGGGGAGUACGUUCGCAAGAAUGAAACUUAAAGGAAUUGACGGGG